Molecule: long non-coding RNA, 8984 nt
Organism: Astatotilapia calliptera (eastern happy)
Lineage: Eukaryota; Metazoa; Chordata; Actinopteri; Cichliformes; Cichlidae
Source: Ensembl
UAUGUUUUUAUAGCUGUAUAAACUAAACUAAGUCACCUUGCAAUUUGAUGGUUACCAACAUAGCAAUUUUGAGACCCCAGUUUUGUUUGGGCUUUGUUUGUUUGCGUUUUUGUGUAAGGAUUUAUGCAUGCUUUUUUAAAUGUUAUGUCUAAUUUUCACAGGAUGUGGGAUUUUUAAAACUGGAGCAACAGGUGUGCCAUGGAUGUUGGCACGAAGGAUAGAUGACUCAUAGGCCUAAAACAAUUGUUCAUAUAGUGACUGGCUGUGGCGGGAAUUAGUGCUGCAUUCAAAGUACCAAAGCAAAAGAUUUUCUUCCAUCAAGUUUACAUGAACGUACACGUAAUCGAUGUUAAUGUUAACUCAUGUAAUGUUGCAGAUCCAUUUACACGGAAGGUCACUUUAUUAGGUACACUUGUUCCAUUGUUUGUUAAUACAAAAAGUAUAAUCAGUCACUCACAUAGUAGCAACUCUGCAUUAAGGCAUGUAGACAUGGCUGAGAAGACCUGCUGAAGUUCAAACAGAGCAUCAGAAUAGGGGGAAAAAGGUCAUUUACAGUUAGGCAGACAUAAUCUUUGUAGUUUUGCCUCUGAACACCCACCACAGUAGAUUUAAAUCACACAAUCAAAGGCAGAGUUUCAUCUUUAUUAAAGGGGUUUUACAAAAAUUUUGCAUUUUUACAUGACAUUUAGUGGCUCAUGUUUGGACAGGCAAAUAUAAUUUAUAAUGUAUAAUUUAAUUGUAAGGAUUGUUUUGAAUACCUUUAUCAAAAAUCAUUUGCAGUCAAUGACUCCCUGAAGUUUAGAAUCCAUGGACAUCAUAAAAAUGAUGUGUUUCCUCUCUUGAGAUGGUCUGCCAGACCUUGUUGCAGUCGCUUUCAGUUGCUGUGUUUUUCUUUUUUUGCAUUUAGUUUUGUAUUUAAGGACUGAAGAGCUAUUGCACUGAGAUCAAGUGCUAUCGAAGAAUAUCCAAUUUCUUCGCCAUGAGAAACUCUUCACUUGUUUUUGGAUUAUACUUUGGCUCAUUAUCCAUUUGCACUGUGACAUGCUAUCCACAUCUUGGUUUCAUCUGACCAAAUAAUAUUUUUCCAGGACUGUGCAGGCUCUUUUAGAUGUCUAGAAGUCUAAACUGGUUUUCCUGUUCAGGAGUGUAACCAGUGCUGUGCACCUUGUUGUAACCACUCUGUAUGUUCAUUCAUGAAGGCAUCUCGUGAUUGUAAACCUUAACAAUGAUAAGCCGGUCUCCUUGAUGAUAUUGUUUAAGGUGGUUUGAUGCUGAAAAGUUGUUUAUAUUUACCAAGGAAAUUAUUUUAUCAUCGUGCACUUUAGCUCUGUUCUGUGCAUUCAUGCUUUUAAAGAAUAAAAUCGUUGCACUGAGAUCUCUUUAGGCCCUAUAGUUAAAAUUACAGUGGAAAGCUAUAAUAUAGAAGUUAAACAGUUUGAAUCAACUUCAUUAGUCAUAAAUGACAACGGAAGAGAUUUCACCUCUCCAUAAAAUUGUGGGACUAUGUAUAAAAAUGGCUUGAAUUGCUACAUAGAACAAAAAACAAACAAACACCCAAAGCAAAACUCUGAGCUGAAUGAAUGUACUCCAGUCAACAUUGAUUGAUUUUAAAUACCACUGUGGUGGUGUACAGGGGCAAAACUAUAAAAAUUGUCUUUUUCAGCAAAUUAUGGACUGUAAGUGACUUUAAAUGUGGCAUAGGUUGUUGGUGCCAGACAGGCUGGUCAGAGUAUUUCAGAAACUGCUGAUCUACUGGGAUUUUCCUACACAACAAUUGAGUUUACAUAGAAUGGUCCAAAAUAACAGAAAAUAGUGAGCAGCAGUUCUCUGGGUAAAAAUGCCUUGUGUAUGCCAGAGGUCAGAGGAGAAUAGCCAGGCUGCUUCAAGCUGAUAGGAAAGCAACAAUAACUCAAAAUAACCACUCUUUAUAGCAAGGUAUGCAUGCACAAUAGUCUGAAUGCACAACGUGUCAAACCUUGUGGCAGAUACAGCAUCUGAAGUGAGCUAAGAACCAGAAACUGAGGUUAAAAUUUGCACAGGCUCACCAAAAUUGGAAUUUAGAGAUUUGUAAAAAUGCUGCUUUGUUUGAUGAGUCGCAAUUUAUGUUGCAAUAUGUACAAAAUGAUGGUGGAUCCAUCCUGCAUUGCAUCGAUGAUUCAGACUGAUGGUGGUUGUGUAAUGAUGUGGGGCAUAGUCCCUUGGUACACUUUGGGCCUCUUAGUACCAAUUGAGCAUCAAUCACCAAAACCUACCUGAGUAUUGUUGCUCAAUCCCAUAGAGCACCUUUGGGAUGCUGUGGAACAGAUUCAUAUGCUGGAUGUGCAGCUGACAAAUCUGCAGCAACUGGGUGAGGUUAUCAUGUCCAAAUCAACCAAAAGCUCUGAGGAAUGUUUUCAGCACCCAGUUGAGUCAAUGUCAUGAAUAAUUCAGGCAGUUCUGAAGGUAAAAAGGAGUCCAACCUUCUAAUAACAAGGUUUAUCUAGUAACGUAGCCAGUGAGUGCAUUUUCUCCAAGUUGGUUAUAUUUCCCAUCUUACACAAGCAUCAAAGGAUGGCUGAAGCUCUAUUGUUCUGGAUUGUGGCUAGCAUAAUUUAUGGUGGCGGCUCUCAGGGAAUUGCUGACAGAAGUUUGAACUCUAAUUCUACAGUCUACGUUACAUACUGGAAGUGCUUUUACAGGAAAACAGUUUAAGCAGUACCAAAACCCAAGGAAAUAUUUCUCUUACAGUAUUCCCAUGACCUCAGUAUAAUCAUUUAAGAGCUCAGAAAAUAAAUAAAAUGUAAUGAAAGGAGGAAGCCAAGAGUUUAAUGGAAACUUUGGAGCAGAAAGCAGAGUGGGAAGAGAUUGUUUCAAGGUGACAUGGUGUGGAAAUAUUUGACGAGAUGACUCCUUGGUGUUUAAAAGGAAGCGACUGCCUGAUCACAGCAGGGAACUAUGGAAGUUAUUUUUCUAGUGCAGAGCCAGAAAAGGUAGUUAGAGUUGUGUAAUAGUGACAUUAAUUCUUUGGUCCUCAAACUUUCGAUAUUUCCCUUUUAGCUGUGGGUGACAGGUACUCUAGUUUCAACCGGGCUUCCCGAGAUCUACAUAAAUAAUGGCCUUUAACUACUGCUCAGUUGUUGCAGUGAUUUAGACUGGAUGCAGUGAGAUCUUUUUUUCCAAAUAGAAAUAAAUGUGGGCUCUAAAUUGCCCUAAAAUCUGGGUAGGCAGGGGUGCGGCGGAAAGGAAAGCAGCAGGGGAGGAAAAUUAUUCAGCCAGCUGUUAAAUAAUGCAAAUAAAUAAUUUAUAUGUGGUUGUGUGGUACAGCGGGGUUUUGCUGUCAGCACAGUUUAGGAUGAGCAAUAGAUUUGUUGCCAUCCAUGUCAAUGUGCAUCAUGUCAGUGUGGUAUAUUUCCUCUAUGAACGCUCAUUUUAGUUUUCUUUCAUUUCUUUUUCUGCUGUGAAAUUAUUUUUUCAACAUAUUUGAAGAUAUUAACUUUAGAAAAUUAGAAAAUUUUAUAUUUAGAAAAUACCUUGGGAAAAAAGAAAGUAUACGCAGCCCUGAAGGUCAUACUUCUAAAGAACUGGUUAAUAGCAAUUUUCCACAAGGUGAACUGCACAUUGAAUAGUUUGUCCAAACAGCAGUCCAGAACUCAACAACAUUUAAUUUGUAUCACAUAAAAGAUUUUGUAAUAAAAUAUCUUAAUUAAUGGUUUAUUACUGGUGUAUUAAAUAAUGGGGCACUCCUUCCUUUGUCAACUAAAUACAGAUUACACGAAUAAUUUAAUUAUGGAUAACACAAAUUUCUAUGGUUAGUUUCAAUGUAUUAUUUAUUUAAAUGUACUUGCUUUACAUAUUAAUAAAUGUCCAGAUGCUGACAAUAACUGCAGUAAUCAAUCAGUUAUGCCAUUUAACUAAUAAUUUACAGUCAGCCAUGAACCCAGCAUUUCUGCCAGGUCAGAUUUAUAAGGAGUAGGAACAACUUGACAUGGAACAUGCUUUUGUUACUUUUAUAUCUGUAAAUCAAAUAUUUUAUUAGAAAAAAUAAUAAUGUUGUUUAUCACCUUUAAACAGGUGUCUUGCUGGUACGGCUCUGAUCAGGUGGCCAGCAGGGGGUGCCAGUUCACUUCUUAAUUGUGCUUUAGGCCCUAGUCUAACACUCAGGUUUCCCUCUAUUACUAUGGGGAAGGUGGUCAUAGCAUUUGUCAACAUGCUCACAUUUUCAGAAAACAAAACUUGGUUUCUUAUCAUUUCAACUUCUUGUAUUGGAACAUUAAUGUAUUGAAAAAAAAAGAAACAAAGACAUCUAAUUGUUGCAGCUGUAAAAAACUAAGUAAAAAUAACACAUGUAUAGGUUAUGCUAACCAAGCAAACCUUUACUGUAUGCAUUAUUGGAUGAGCCAUUCCACUUACUAAAUUAGCAAGGUGAUAUUUUUGGCGUUUAUGGGAGCCUUUAUGAGCUGUGUGGCUGUCACCAGCAGACAGUGUUGAAGCAGCUGUAGGAAAGCAGAGGUGAGCAGGACAAGCUGUAAAUCUUCUUCAGGCCACAAAAGGAUUGGCACACAGACCGAGCGACACAACUUCAAAGAAAACCCCUGUCUCCAAUGAGCUUCUUGCCUUCACUGAUACAGGUUUAGCUUGCCCAGCUGUUUCAAGUGUUUUGUUGUGAGAGUGUCUGAAUGAGUUGUGUGGGUGGUUUAGUCUGGAGAUGGACACCAUAAGGCCACCAACCAAGAGCAAUGAUUGACACCCUUUGGUUGAAGUUUGAAGUGUGUGCAUUCUUGUCUGUAUGAGUGUGUGUUGAUCUUUCUAGACCCAUCAAGAAGCUACAAUUUGUUUUCUUUGCAAAAAAAAAAAAAAAAAAAAAAUCAAUAGAUAACAAAAAUUGUUUCACAUUAAAGCACAAGAACACAGAAAAAUAACUGUUUUUAAGCAACCAACUACUGAAUCCAGCUUCUCUGAUAUUUAACUUUACAGCUUGUUCUGUGAUAGUAUGAAUAUGUCUGUGGACAGUUGGUCUGUCUAUUCAAAACAUUUUGAAUAUAUCAUCUUUGAGAGUUGACAUUUGAUAAACCAAAUAAACCUAUUACUUAAAAUCUGGCAAAUUAAUUCACAACAAAUAUACCAUCAGAUAAACAUGCAUCCCAUCUAGAGAGGUAAUAUCAUUAAUAGCAUAAUUUUUCAUUUUAUCAGCUUGUUUUUCUCUUUUGUAGAUAAGCUGUUGGCAAAAGGUCAAUAAAAAAAAUUGUGAUCUGCAGUGAAUCAAUAGAACAGACAAAAACACAUUGGAUUUUACAUUUAUGAGACAAAACUGUAUUUUUGUUGCAGAAAUCUGUCUCCAAAUGAGUAACAUGAGUUACAAAAAAAUGAAAAUAAUAUCUACAAAGAAGGCUGCACUAAAAAGUCAGCUGAAAGUCUGUUUGGCUGUUUUAGCUCACCUUUUUAUUUUCCCGAGAAAGCUUGAAGAGAUCAUACUGAAACUAUACUAAAGCACAGUCUCUUCUGACUUAUUUAAAGAAAUGAAAGUUGCAGUUUGCAGGUAUUAUAGAAAGUCCAAACACCCCUGUGGUCACAAAUUAUAUAUAAUAAAGGGGCUGAUGUUUGAAAUUGUUAAUAUUACUGCCAAUGGGACAAUGACUCUGACUCUGUCUGGCUUUCGUUUGCUUUGAAAGCAGUUAAGUGUGAUUACAUGUGCUGACUUCCAGUACCUUUCUAGCGUACCUUCUUUUCUCUUUUUAAUGGGAUCCAUCGUUUUUAUAACUUUGUUCUUUACCAUCGGCCUUUCGCCCAUCUCCUUCCUUUUCCUCCUUCCUCCCUCUCUUCCCACUUCUCUUGUUGGUUGUCUUUCCGUGUCAGAGACUAAGCAAACAUAGUCGUGUGUAAGUGGCCUCAUAACUCCACGUUCCUGAGAGACUAGGAGCUCUCAGAUGAAGCAGCUGUGUCUUCAUUUGUCAGCCAUGUUCAGCAUUCUCUAGAUAUCUCGAGGAGGCUCCCUGUCUUUUUCUGUGUUCUGGUUUGACCUAGUGCCAUAUGAAAGGCUCUGUAGAAGCUCUCAGAUGCAUAGAUACAUGAGAUGCAUGAUUUAGGGAAAAAAAUCUGAGUGUUUGGUGAACUCACCAGGAUUUGAGCUCCAAGGAUCUGCUAAUUUUUAUUGGCUAUAACAUCUUCUUUCACUAGCUGGGACCACAUCCUCAUUUUUGGUUUGACAGCAUUUCUAGUAGAUAAUGGCAGAUGGCUUGAGCAUGGAUUGAGACUGCGGUUUGGGGAAGGCCUCAGUGGGGACUGGCGGCAGCUCCCGGGCUGGGCAGAUCCCCAUGUACUAAUGAGAAGUGAAUGAAUUUAAAAAGGGAGGGAGGAUGGGGCACAAAAACAAACAGCUUUAAGUGCCGGGGGGAGUCAUAUAUAGACGAGAACCACAAGGUUUGUGUAUGGAGAUGUGGUCCCGCUCUUGAAAAUCAGAUAAAUUAUCUCCAAUAGAUGCGUUUGUUGUUGUUUUUGUUACUGAUACACAAACCUAAACUUUAACCAUUGCAAAGAAUUAAGUUAACAGGAGAAACAACAGGGGAGUCAUUUUGACAUCUUCUUUCACCUGUAGGAAACUUCUUUUCAUGAAGAAGUUAAGUUUUUAAUUUUUAUCUAACUUUUAGAAAUACAAAUAGAAUUUUUAAAAAACUAUGUAAGAUUCGUUUUCACAGCUUUAUAACUAACUUUUAUAACUUUGCUGUAGAAGAACAGAAUCGAAGGGAAAAUUGAAUUUUGUUACACUAAAAUAAAUAAAGUCCAAUGUGUACGCUGCCUGGAUGGAUGAUUAGAUGGAUAAAAAACAGAGCAAACACUGGUUGCUGUGCUUAAAAUUUCACUCUUUAUUUGCUUGGAUUAGUUCUUGUUCUGGACUCUCAUCUGUUCACCUAAAGUUCCCCCACUGCUCUGCACAGCCAGCAAUCUGCCCAGUUAUCCAUGCAUCUUUCAUCCACUCUGCCCUGCUCUGCCCCAGCUCUUUCACCCAUCUCUGACCCAUUGAGCCUUGCAAUAAUUAUUCAUCUUCUGUCUAUUCACAGUCUUGUAACAAUCACAUCUAACUACAGUAGCUUUGUCCCAAGAUAUAGCAGCCAUCAAGCGGUGGGGUUUUCAUUUUAAGAAUUUCGUACCUCAUUUUAAAAUGCUUAAGGAAUUAAAAUGCUUCCUUUAGCUAGGGUCUAACUCAGCUCUCAUACGAUUCGAUCAAAUAAAAAUAGACCAUAUCACAGGAAGCAGUUCACCUAUUUAACAUUAGAAAGCUGGGUUAAAAGACCUAAGAAUGGACAUGUAACACAAACUUUGGAGAGAGGAACAGCCAGAACAAUUUUCUUUUGCCCGCCAAUAAGGGAAAGGAUUUGCUGAGGGGUUAGUGAUUCCUAAAGUGAAGGGAACGCCUAAAGUCCCCUUCGGUGUCCCUUAUAGUCCAUUACAAAAGAUCUAGCAGAAGAUCUUGCUGCUUUUCUGUGAUAGUGGAUUGCGGAUCCUCUGUUCUCUAUUUCAACUGCAAAUCCUUUGAAGUCCUUGACACAUUGCUCACAGUGAAGGCGUAAGGAGAAAGAGCCAAGUGCUUUCUGAAAUAUUUAAUAUAUUUUUCCUAAUAUUCCUGUUGCCCUCCCUCUCACUGCCUUGGUUUCUUGCCCUGUGUGAUUUCUAAAUGCUGAAGUUCAUUUUUUUUUUUGUUUUCAGCAAGUCAUGGUUUUGCAUUUUCCCUUUAUUCAUUCAUCUAUUUAUUCAUUCAUGUACUGAAUUUUAAUACCACCACCGUCAUCAUCAUCAUCAGAAGAUGUUUACAAGAUGUCACAAGAAGGACCAUCAUGUGUUUUGUUUUGUUUUGUUUUUUUCUUCAGCUUGGCCAAAUGAGGUUCACACGUCAUCUUUUUUCUUUUCUCACCUCCUUUCUCCUCAUCGCCGACUGAUAGUCCCCUUUCACCUCCCUACUUAUUUUCUUCACCUUGCAGGUUUGAAUCAUCAGACGCACACACAUCUGUUUCUUCUCCGCGCUCUCCAUCCCCUCCCUGCCGUGCCUUACUCCUAUUUUACUUUAUCUGUUACUCUCUCUCAUCUGUUUUCUCCUGCAUCUGGUGAACAUGAGCUGUGGAAAGACAACAGACAAGUAAUGGGAGAAGUGUGUGUAUGUAAUAUGUGGGGGCGGCCUUGCCCAUCUGCAUGAGUGCACAUAUGCCCAGAUGACAAAGGCAGCUGCACGUCUUUGUCAAAAAAAAAAAAAAAAUCCCAUCUGAAAGUAUUUUCGGAAGAGCUUUUGGUUCUGUACCCACACUGAACUGACACCCACAAAACCACUGACACUCAAGUCACUAAGCUGUCCAACGUCAGCUGCUGAAACCUCUUUAUAUGCUCCAAUCCAUCAUGAUAUCAGAAACAUACUCUGCAUUUCAAAAACUGACAAAUGUGCCUUGUGGCAGCAGAGUUCAUUAUGUAAAAGUAGGAUCAGAGAUUCAUCAACAGCAGCUUCUAUCUGUCUUGGUCUCAACAGCAGCUGGAAUCAAACAAGAAUGAUUUUUCUGAGUAUUUUGUACAAACCUCGCACAGUUAUACAGAUUCAGUUACAGAAUAAUUUCAAAUGAAAUUCUUGAUUACUUUUGAUUCUUUUAUUGCAUUUCUUGGUUCAGUUAUAAUGCACAGCUCAUGUUUUUAUAUAAACGUAGAGAUUGGGAUUAAUCUGCCACCGAAGCCUUUUUUUUUAUAAGGUUGAGAGAUGUAAAGUUGGGUAAAAGUGUUAAAAAUGUUGGUUUCUCUACAUGGACUAGACGCUAGACUUGCAUCCUUUGUUUCAGUGUCACAGAAUUCAGGGAAUGAACAGAGGUGCUGCCACAAAGGCCAGUGUAAGGUAAAUCAGGAUUAUUUUGAACUGUGAAUCAUGCAAAGCUACUCAUGUGGAGUCCAAUAAUAAAUGCAAUUUUGGAAAUGAGCAUUAUUUAAACAUUUAAUUAAUCAUUAUAAUGUUCAAUAAUUCUCUCUUAGUCUGCUAA